Molecule: ribosomal RNA, 301 nt
Filed under: uncultured bacterium
Lineage: Bacteria
Description: partial 16S ribosomal RNA
Rfam family: Bacterial small subunit ribosomal RNA
Source: RNAcentral
CAGUAGCCACGGUAAUACGUAGGUCCCGAGCGUUGUCCGGAUUUAUUGGGCGUAAAGCGAGCGCAGGCGGUUAGAUAAGCCUGAAGUUAAAGGCUGUGGCUUAACCGUGGAAUUGCAUUGGAAACUGUCCAACUUGAAUGCAGAAGAGGAAAGCGGAAUUCCAUGUGUAGCGGUGAAAUGCGUAGAUAUAUGGAGGAACACCAGUGGCGAAGGCGGCUUUCUGGUCUGUGAUUGACGCUGAGGCUCGAAAGCGUGGGGAGCGAACAGGAUUAGAUACCCCUGUAGUCCCUGUCUCUUAUAC